GCCGGCAGCACCAGUGCCAAGCUGGCAAAGGAGCAAGAGAGCGAGCCCGCCCUCUGUCCCUCGCUCACUCACCCGGCUGGGUUCCAGCAGCACCAGGAUCUGGCGGAGAAGGUACUUAUCCAAGCUAGACAUUCCCAAUUUCAGGAAAUCCUUCACCCUGGCCAGAUUUAAUGUUCUGCCAUCAACACUUCUGCAGGGGCAAAGAGGGACUCCUGAAGCCACUGAAGGAAGGAAAUCAUUACAGAGAUCUACAAAAGUAGGUCAUGUGCUACAGCUGCUCAUAGUUUGAGAGGAAGAAACAUGGGACCUCAAACAUGGAACAUGACUCCUUCAGAAUGCUUGAGAGCAACCCAAGAAAAACAUCCUCAGAGGCUUAUUUAAUAAACAUUAUCUAUAAUAGCCUCAAUGUGUGCUCAGGUUUCUUUAGGAGUUUGCACCUAUAUCCCAGAGCUAACAUGAUUCUGGGAUGGAAUACAAAAUAAUUUAUCAAGAAGGAUU
Anolis carolinensis (green anole) is the source of this 498-nucleotide long non-coding RNA. RefSeq lists it as uncharacterized. The transcript is spliced from 3 exons. Lineage: Eukaryota; Metazoa; Chordata; Lepidosauria; Squamata; Anolidae. The record is from RefSeq and is a predicted model, not a curated record.